RNAcentral lists this long non-coding RNA (417 nucleotides) under Ananas comosus (pineapple). RNAcentral's name for it is "long non-coding RNA (ACOM_LNC001398)". Lineage: Eukaryota; Viridiplantae; Streptophyta; Magnoliopsida; Poales; Bromeliaceae. The record is from RNAcentral.
AAUUUUGAUGAAUGAAUCAUUUUAUGACAUUACUGUAUUAACAGAAUUUAACUGUAACUAUAAAUCUACUGAUAGAACUUGAUUAUAAAUAUGAAUCGAACCUAUGGUUUCUGAUUAGAUCUGAUGUGAUACCCAUACAUGCCCUCUGGCUCUGAUGUCAUUUGUCGAAUCGUUGGCGCUAAUUAUUAAUCUCAAAAGCUCCAGCUGUUAGAAAUACACAAACAAUUCACUUAAAGCGUUUAGACAUGACAUUCAUAGGUUUCGAUUGUGACUCUGAUCCAACCAGCCUCACGCCACUUCGAAUAUGACUUGACCUAAUCCGACCUUCCGCCAUUUCGACCGUGCCUCCGUCCGAUCUGACCUUCCGCCAAAAGACAGAAUGUUAGUCCCUUUAAGCCAAUCAGUUUAACCUUUCUA